AGUAACGCGUGAGGAACCUGCCUUCCAGAGGGGGACAACAGUUGGAAACGACUGCUAAUACCGCAUGACACAUGACCGUGGCAUCACGGACAUGUCAAAGAUUUAUCGCUGGAAGAUGGCCUCGCGUCUGAUUAGCUAGUUGGCGGGGUAACGGCCCACCAAGGCGACGAUCAGUAGCCGGACUGAGAGGUUGGCCGGCCACAUUGGGACUGAGACACGGCCCAGACUCCUACGGAAGGCAGCAG
RNAcentral lists this ribosomal RNA (245 nucleotides) under uncultured bacterium. RNAcentral describes it as "partial 16S ribosomal RNA". It matches the Rfam family "Bacterial small subunit ribosomal RNA", at positions 109 to 354 of the family's 1533-position model. The record is from RNAcentral.